This 453-nucleotide ribosomal RNA is filed under the name Carex paniculata. Its description in RNAcentral is "eukaryotic LSU rRNA". The stretch from base 312 to 453 matches the Rfam family "Eukaryotic large subunit ribosomal RNA", at positions 1 to 141 of the family's 3401-position model. Lineage: Eukaryota; Viridiplantae; Streptophyta; Magnoliopsida; Poales; Cyperaceae. The record is from RNAcentral.
UGCAGAAUCCCGUGAACCAUCGAGUCUUUGAACGCAAGUUGCGCCCGAGGGACCCUCCCGAGGGCACGCCUGCCUCAUGGGCGUUAGAAGCCCAUCCACGCUCGGUUGCCAAACGGCAAAGAUGCGGACGUUGGCCCUCCGAACUGCGAGGUACGGUGGGCCUAAGUGUGCGGCCGUCGUUUGUGGCCGGGAGCGGCGAGUGGUGGGCAACAGCGCACGUCACCCCGAGCCCUGUACCGACGCAGGGCCUUUAUUGACCCCUAACGAGGAGCUUGCUGUUGCAGCUUGUGCUGCGCGGCGCCUUCGGACCGAUACCCCAGGUCAGGCGGGGCUACCCGCUGAGUUUAAGCAUAUAAAUAAGCGGAGGAGAAGAAACUUACAAGGAUUCCCCUAGUAACGGCGAGCGAACCGGGAGCAGCCCAGCCUUAGAAUCGCGGUGGCACUGCCGCCCGA